GGCCACUGAUGAGUGGUGUCGGUCUGUGCCCAGGAACUGAACCCAGGCCACUGAAGAUAAGUGCUCUGAACUUUACCACUGGGCCAUGGGUCCAGCCCCUACCAUAUUUUUUUAAGAUAAUAAUUUUGUGUAUGGGAUUAGAAGAACAUCAGAGUGAAGAAUAAAUGAACUAUACCAUGAGUUCCACAUUAUCAAAGAAUUACCAUUGGAAGAAAUUCAAAAUAUCACUGUUUAAUAUCUUAUCUGUUUCACCAAUACCCUUCUAAGUGGUCUCAGCUUUCCCUUGAACAUCUGCAAGGGAAGGGAACUAACUCAUUACCUUCUAGAAUGGCCUAUGCUAUCUUUAACUGAAUUUAUCAGAAUACUUUGUCAACAUCUCUUACCUUGAGAUUUCUAUCCAUGGUGCAAUUGUAUUUCUCAUGACCACAAAUGUGUCUAUUCUGUGCACAUGAAAAACUUUUCCAGUAGAAGAAAUUUAUAAUUUCUCAUCUAUACAGGUUAAAUACUGCUACUUUUCAACUGUUUCUCAAUGUGAUGCCAAGGACUGUCACUAUUAUUGUUUCUUUCCUUUUCCACACAGUAAAGUAUAUCUAUAUUUAUAAAGCUCCAAUUUACAUAAAUAAUACAACACAUUUUUUACAGGGUUUAUUUCCUGGUCUACCUUAUAUAUUGAUGUUUCUUAAUAAAGUAAAUUAUUACUUAACAUAGAUUAUAUCCACAAAGGGAAUAAUACAACAUGUUUAGUGACUAACUCAAUGAAAACUAUGCAUAUUUUACAUAAAAUGGUAAUAAGUUUUUGAAUAUACAGAAUGAGUGCAGAAGCUUUUAUUAUAGAUAAGAACUAAUAAUUAUAAAGAGUUCAAUUUUCCCAAAUUAUUUAGUAGAACUAAUGUAAUUUCACUAUCAUGAUUUUUCUUAGAACUGUAUAAUGAGACAAUAGAUAUCACCUGGAAACAAAAAGGUCAAGGACUGAGAAAAAUACAUCCUUCAGAUCAAUGGCUGAAAACCAAGUGUCAGAGACUGUCUUGACCUGUUCCAGUAAGGAUCGCCAGCUGGUACAGCUGCAAUGCAUCCUAUCAUUUGAGGGAAUUGCUCCACGUGUAGCUGUAGAUUUGGCGUGUCCAUGAUAGGAGGUGAGUUCAGGAGCAUCCGAUAUCAUCAUUUUGAACUGGAAUGCCCAAUAAUAUUUAAUGCAAGUAAUUAAUUGUCUGCUCAUUUUCCAUUUUGUAAUGUUUUAUCUGUU
Non-coding RNA from Equus caballus (horse), 1243 nucleotides. Lineage: Eukaryota; Metazoa; Chordata; Mammalia; Perissodactyla; Equidae. The record is from RefSeq and is a predicted model, not a curated record.